This 118-nucleotide small nucleolar RNA is filed under the name Echinops telfairi (small Madagascar hedgehog). RNAcentral's name for it is "Small nucleolar RNA SNORA61 (ENSETEG00000026713.1)". Lineage: Eukaryota; Metazoa; Chordata; Mammalia; Afrosoricida; Tenrecidae. The record is from RNAcentral.
AACCUCCAGAAGCCUUACCCGUCGUAUCUAAUUAUUGUUCGGUGCAACUAAAAGUGGAAACGUAAAACUGAAGUGGGCUUGGAGUCUUUAAGAUAUUACAAGUGCAUUUCAAGCAUAA